CUCGAACUUCUGUUAGGAGAUCAUUGUAAUAUCCACUCCAAAACAUAGGUAAAAGGAAACAAAUCUCAGCAUUAUUCAUUCUAUUAUUGUCAAUUCACAAACUAGAAAACCAAAUACAAUCCUGAUUAAAACAAUUUAAACAUAUUUGGUGUGCCGUAGUUAACAGAAAUAGACAGUAAUUCAUACUACUGUCUAGCCCUAUCUAAUCCCCCCACCAGACGUGCCAAUAUCGAAUGUAGAACUUGUUUUCGACCCUAUGUAACUAUGACACAAUGCGACGACUAAUUGGCCAUGGAAACACUUUUCCAUUUGUCCGUAGUCGUAGAGAUAUAAACAGAAGCUUUCUGGUCAAUUCCAGGCUCAGCCACCCACUGGCCUCUAUCUUCAUCACUAGGCCAUACUUUGUAAGCCUUCAAAGAAUCAUCCCAUGUACUUUCCCACUUUGACGUCCUCGAGCUUUUGCCUUUGAAGAUGUUGAAGAGGGAAAAAGAAGGUGAUGAAGAUUUCUUCUGCCUGUUGUUUCCAGCCAUAUUUUCUUUCCUUUUUCUGUCUGUUUUUUCAGGAAAUGGACAGACAAGGCAACCUUCGAGUAUUUCUGCACAAGGAAUUGAGGUGUUAGUGUGUGUAUGUAUGUGUUUCUU
RNAcentral lists this long non-coding RNA (641 nucleotides) under Olea europaea (common olive). RNAcentral's name for it is "long non-coding RNA (OEUR_LNC001286)". Lineage: Eukaryota; Viridiplantae; Streptophyta; Magnoliopsida; Lamiales; Oleaceae. The record is from RNAcentral.